Molecule: long non-coding RNA, 464 nt
Filed under: Erythranthe guttata (spotted monkey flower)
Lineage: Eukaryota; Viridiplantae; Streptophyta; Magnoliopsida; Lamiales; Phrymaceae
Description: long non-coding RNA (EGUT_LNC000731)
Source: RNAcentral
UAUGAUGGGAAGGGUCGGUCCUAGGACCCGGGAGGCCUUAGGGGAGGUCGAAAACGGGGGCCUUUUUAUCAUUGUUCCAAAAAUUGGUCGAGGCGGCCGAUGAAUCGGUCUUUGAGGCGGAGCCGGUCCCAAACCUAUACGAUUUUAGAGUAAAGUUUUGAAAAAUCAGGUUUUUGUAAAUGAGGCAGUUUUAGGCGGUUUGAGGCGGGUUGAGGCCGUCCAAGGCGGUCAAACCUUGAAGGCGGCUCAAACUUUGGUGGCAAAAAUCUGCCAAAAAUGGUGAAAAAAAUCAGUUUUUUUCUUUUAUUUAUUUAUUUAUUUUACUUAUUUUUUAUUUUUUUAAAUUCAAAAUAAAAGUAGGGACUUUAAUGAAAAAAAAAUGAGUUUAUGAUUUAUUUUGUUUAUGUCAAUAUUAUUUGUUUUAAAUAACCUAAUGAUGUAUGUCAAGAAUGUUAAGAAUAAAU